This 500-nucleotide ribosomal RNA is filed under the name uncultured bacterium. RNAcentral's name for it is "partial 16S ribosomal RNA". It matches the Rfam family "Bacterial small subunit ribosomal RNA", at positions 30 to 523 of the family's 1533-position model. The record is from RNAcentral.
AUUGAACGCUGGUGGCAUGCCUUACACAUGCAAGUCGAACGGCAGCACGGGAGCAAUCCUGGUGGCGAGUGGCGAACGGGUGAGUAAUAUAUCGGAACGUGCCUAGUAGUGGGGGACAACCAUUCGAAAGAGUGGCUAAUACCGCAUACGCACUCUGGUGGAAAGGGGGGGAUCGCAAGACCUCCCGCUAUUAGAGCGGCCGAUAUCAGAUUAGGUAGUUGGUGGGGUAAAGGCCUACCAAGCCUACGAUCUGUAGCUGGUCUGAGAGGACGACAAGCCACACUGGGACUGAGACACGGCCCAGACUCCUACGGGAGGCAGCAGUGGGGAAUUUUGGACAAUGGGCGCAAGCCUGAUCCAGCCAUGCCGCGUGUGGGAAGAAGGCCUUCGGGUUGUAAACCACUUUUGUCAGGGAAGAAACGGCUUCGGUUAAUACCUGGAGCUAAUGACGGUACCUGAAGAAUAAGCACCGGCUAACUACGUGACAGCAGCCGCCGUAA